AGACGCUGGCUCAUGGCAUCAGUCAUCCGAGUUCACUCAAGAGAAACGGUUCAAAAAUGUAUCCAAAUCCUUUCGAAAGAAAACACUCGACGAUCCGUCAGGUGAUCGACAAGUUCCUGAGGCCGGAGGCGAACAACAACCAAAGGAGAACCUCCGGCUACGGAUACAACAGCCCUAAAACUAAAUCUUCCGUCAAGGGGUGGUGACUCUGGGUUGCUAAUCAUUGCCUAUCCCUACGAUGGUGUUAUUCUUCAUACCAAAGAUUGUGAACGGGGAACACUUUAAAGACUAGAAGUCAUUCGUUGAAUGGCAGCACUGAAUCUCAGCCCGGUCACCGACGGACAGCCCCAAUCAGUAUUCACGUUAAUUUAUGACAAAACAUCACAGCAUAUCCAAAUUAAAGCUUUAACUUAUUUAUUACUUAGAGUGCGCUUACGAGACGUAGCCUCUAAAAAAACUUGUUUUAGCUGUUAACCUAAUUUAUUUAUUGUAAUUUAUUGUAAAUAAAAUAAUUUCGAACAAAAAAA
Molecule: long non-coding RNA, 527 nt
Organism: Cimex lectularius (bed bug)
Lineage: Eukaryota; Metazoa; Arthropoda; Insecta; Hemiptera; Cimicidae
Exons: 3
Source: RefSeq, a predicted model, not a curated record